GGCCACUCGGGGAGAUGUGGCCAAGGCCAGACUCCAUCCCAGGGACAAGUCCCAAGCUUGACCCUCGUUCCCACACCUCAUUGACCCCGCACCACGGAGACACCCGAGGAGGGAUGCCCCCUGCCGGGCUCUGGGCACCCUGGCUCCUUGGUGUCUUCCCAGCCAGCUUCCACCCCUUCCUUGUCCGUGGUUCUCUCAAACGUCCCCCAGCUAAGGGCCACAUGCACAGCUCAAGUCAUCCAAUGUGCCUGCCUAGGGACACUGCACAGGAAGACAGGCCACCCCCACUGGUCCACUUGGAAUGUGCGGGGAGCUAACCCGAGCCCACAGCACCCCGGCUCUCCUAGUUGAGGAGAAGGAGCAGCGAGCCCUGGGAGGGUUGCAGGAUGAGCAAACUGGGAGCCGAGGAGGGGAAGUAAUGGCUCGGGUCUUGCAUGUGGGGGACCAGGUGUCACAGCAGGCGGAUCUGUGUGAGGCCUGGAUGGAGCCUGGAACCUGCAUUCACAAUGAUGGAGCCAGAACCCAUAGCCACUUGUCCCCACUGGCUAAAGGCAUGAAGGCUUAGAAAGUUCAUCUUUUACCCACCUUUUCUGAGGAAGUCACCUGUGGUAACAAAAAUAAUGGAGCCCAAGGAUGUUCACGUCCUGACCUCCAGAAACUGUGAAGAUAUUACUUGAUGUGGCAAAAGGACCCUGCAGGUGUGAUCAAGUUCAGGACACCAGUUGGGAGAUUAUCCUGAGUUAUCUGGAUGGGCCCAGUGUAAUCACAACGGUUCUUAAAACUGGAAGAAGCCAGAAUAUUAUUGCACAAGGCGUGUUGUCUGCCCACUGCAAGACAUGCCAAUAAGC
This 848-nucleotide long non-coding RNA is filed under the name Equus caballus (horse). Its description in RNAcentral is "lncRNA (ENSECAG00000052172.1)". Lineage: Eukaryota; Metazoa; Chordata; Mammalia; Perissodactyla; Equidae. The record is from RNAcentral.